GAUUGAUCUUAAUCAGGAGGAUGACUCGCGCGUUAGUGUGUUGGAGGCAUUCGAUCCUUUGCUCAAUGCGGAUGAAGAAGUAUGGAAAAAAUAACCAACACAUUUUGUUGCAAGCAAAACGUUUUUCUACUACCACACAUACAUACACAUACUUUAAACGAC
Molecule: long non-coding RNA, 162 nt
Organism: Rhagoletis zephyria (snowberry fruit fly)
Lineage: Eukaryota; Metazoa; Arthropoda; Insecta; Diptera; Tephritidae
Source: RefSeq, a predicted model, not a curated record